UCGAGGAUCUUCGUCAAUGGGCGCAAGCCUGAACGAGCGACGCCGCGUGCGCGAUGAAGGCCUUCGGGUUGUAAAGCGCGAAAGUGGAGAGAAAAGCGAAAGCUUGAUCAAUCCACAGUAAGGACGGGCUAAGUUCGUGCCAGCAGCCGCGGUAAGACGAACUGUCCAAACGUUGUUCGGAAUCACUGGGCUUAAAGGGCGCGUAGGCGGUCGGACAAGUCGGGGGUGAAAUCCUGCAGCUCAACUGUAGAAGUGCCUUCGAUACUGUUCGUCUGGAGGGAGAUAGGGGUGUGCGGAACUUCCAGUGGAGCGGUGAAAUGCGUUGAUAUUGGAAGGAACGCCGGAGGCGAAAGCGGCGCACUGGAUCUCUUCUGACGCUGAGGCGCGAAAGCUAGGGGAGCAAACGGGAUUAGAUACCCCAGUAGUCCCUGAGCGGGCUGGCAAGGCGCAU
RNAcentral lists this ribosomal RNA (451 nucleotides) under uncultured bacterium. Its description in RNAcentral is "bacterial SSU rRNA". It matches the Rfam family "Bacterial small subunit ribosomal RNA", at positions 355 to 825 of the family's 1533-position model. The record is from RNAcentral.